UGGCGGCGUGCUUAACACAUGCAAGUCGAACGCGAAAGGGACUUCGGUCCUGAGUAAAGUGGCGCACGGGUGAGUAACGCGUAGAUAACCUGUCUUCAUGUCUGGAAUAAUACGCCGAAAGGGGUACUAAUACCGGAUAUCUUGCUUUUCAUAAGUUAUGCAAGCAAAGGUGGCCUCUGCAUAUGCUACUGCAUGAAGAGGGGUCUGCGUACCAUUAGCUAGUAGGUGGGGUAAUGGCCUACCUAGGCGACGAUGGUUAGCGGGUCUGAGAGGAUGAUCCGCCACACUGGCACUGGAACACGGGCCAGACUCCUACGGGAGGCAGCAGUGAGGAAUAUUGCGCAAUGGGGGAAACCCUGACGCAGCGACGCCGCGUGAGUGAGGAAAGGCCUUCGGGUCGUAAAGCUCUGUCAAGAGGAAAGAAGUGUACAAUGGCUAAUACCUGUUGUAUUUGACGGUACCUCUAAAGGAAGCACCGGCUAACUCCGUGCCAGCAGCUGC
This 501-nucleotide ribosomal RNA is filed under the name uncultured bacterium. RNAcentral's name for it is "bacterial SSU rRNA". It matches the Rfam family "Bacterial small subunit ribosomal RNA", at positions 37 to 518 of the family's 1533-position model. The record is from RNAcentral.